Molecule: long non-coding RNA, 176 nt
Organism: Pollicipes pollicipes
Lineage: Eukaryota; Metazoa; Arthropoda; Thecostraca; Pollicipedomorpha; Pollicipedidae
Exons: 3
Source: RefSeq, a predicted model, not a curated record
ACUGGACGCGGCGUGCAGGGCUGCAACCAGUACGCGCUGGCCGUGUGGCGUCGCGUCCGUCAGAAGCUGGAAGGUCGCGACCCUGACCCCACCCGGCCGGCCAGCGUGGCCGAGCAGGUGGACUUCACCAUCCAGGAGGCGACUAAUGUCACCAACCUGGCGCUCCUCUAUGAGGG